ACUCGGACCUGAAUACUCACACUUUCGGAUAAUCUGCAGCCGGUGGUCCACAGCUGACCAGUUUAGGACGCCUCUCUGACUAAAGGCUGGUAUUUCCAUAGAAAGUUGCCAUAGAAACCACAAUGAACGUGAGGUUUUGGAGGGGGACUGCGGGUCUCCUCAUACUGUGGUCCUGUCUGCACUCUGCACACUCGCAGGGCUGCUCGUCGUCUUUCUGCCAAAAAUCUCAUCAAGACCAAUAUCGAGACAGCGGCCUGAAUGGAGUCAACCCAGGGUCUCCUCUCUUCCUCACUCCGUACCUGGAGAAUGGUGCCAUAGAUGAAGCCAGGAAACUGAG
Non-coding RNA from Plectropomus leopardus (leopard coralgrouper), 337 nucleotides. The record is from RefSeq and is a predicted model, not a curated record. Lineage: Eukaryota; Metazoa; Chordata; Actinopteri; Perciformes; Serranidae.